Molecule: long non-coding RNA, 421 nt
Organism: Pelmatolapia mariae (spotted tilapia)
Lineage: Eukaryota; Metazoa; Chordata; Actinopteri; Cichliformes; Cichlidae
Exons: 3
Source: RefSeq, a predicted model, not a curated record
AUCACCAAAAGUGGACCUUAUCAGAAUAACAGUUCACCUGUUUGCAACGCAACUUUUCCCAACCCUCCUGGUCCCAUCACAGUGCAAUCUCAGACGGUUAAUUCCAUCAACUUCACCUGGACCCUUCCACAGAACAUGAGCCACAAGCAAUACAACUUUAGUGUCACCACCACUAACAACACCUUUGUGACAAAAGACAACUGGUUCCUGCUGGGAAACCUCCCAUCUGGAAGCCCCUACACCAUCUCUGUUGUUACUGUGGGUGUGAUGGGAUAUAACAGUGUAUCAGUGACAACAGUAAACUAUACCAGACCAUUUCCUGUAUCAGAUCUGACUCAGACAGAAAUAACUACAAAUGCAGUGACCUUGGUGUGGACACAGCAGGAGAGCAAAUUAAGCUACUCUUAUCAGGUGCAGGUCA